Molecule: transfer RNA, 73 nt
Filed under: Salmo salar (Atlantic salmon)
Lineage: Eukaryota; Metazoa; Chordata; Actinopteri; Salmoniformes; Salmonidae
Rfam family: tRNA
About the family: Transfer RNA (tRNA) molecules are approximately 80 nucleotides in length. Their secondary structure includes four short double-helical elements and three loops (D, anti-codon, and T loops). Further hydrogen bonds mediate the characteristic L-shaped molecular structure. tRNAs have two regions of fundamental functional importance: the anti-codon, which is responsible for specific mRNA codon recognition, and the 3' end, to which the tRNAs corresponding amino acid is attached (by aminoacyl-tRNA synthetases). tRNAs cope with the degeneracy of the genetic code in two manners: having more than one tRNA (with a specific anti-codon) for a particular amino acid; and 'wobble' base-pairing, i.e. permitting non-standard base-pairing at the 3rd anti-codon position.
Source: Rfam by way of RNAcentral
AUCCCCGUAGCUCAGUUGGUAGAGCAUGGUGUUUGCAAUGCCAGGGUUGUGGGUUUGAUUCCCACGGGGGGCC